This 71-nucleotide transfer RNA is filed under the name Pseudolabrus sieboldi. Its description in RNAcentral is "tRNA-Trp". It matches the Rfam family "tRNA". Rfam says of the family: Transfer RNA (tRNA) molecules are approximately 80 nucleotides in length. Their secondary structure includes four short double-helical elements and three loops (D, anti-codon, and T loops). Further hydrogen bonds mediate the characteristic L-shaped molecular structure. tRNAs have two regions of fundamental functional importance: the anti-codon, which is responsible for specific mRNA codon recognition, and the 3' end, to which the tRNAs corresponding amino acid is attached (by aminoacyl-tRNA synthetases). tRNAs cope with the degeneracy of the genetic code in two manners: having more than one tRNA (with a specific anti-codon) for a particular amino acid; and 'wobble' base-pairing, i.e. permitting non-standard base-pairing at the 3rd anti-codon position. Lineage: Eukaryota; Metazoa; Chordata; Actinopteri; Labriformes; Labridae. The record is from RNAcentral.
AGGGACUUAGGUUAGCACCAGACCAAGGGCCUUCAAAGCCCUAAGCGGGGGUGAGAAUCCCCCAGACCCUG